This 44-nucleotide ribosomal RNA is filed under the name Termitomyces aurantiacus. Its description in RNAcentral is "partial 28S ribosomal RNA". The record is from RNAcentral. Lineage: Eukaryota; Fungi; Basidiomycota; Agaricomycetes; Agaricales; Lyophyllaceae.
UAGGAGUUACCCGCUGAACUUAAGCAUAUCAAUAACCGGAGGAA